AUUGAACGCUGGCGGCAUGCCUUACACAUGCAAGUCGAACGGCAGCACGGGAGCAAUCCUGGUGGCGAGUGGCGAACGGGUGAGUAAUAUAUCGGAACGUGCCCAGUCGUGGGGGAUAACGUAGCGAAAGCUACGCUAAUACCGCAUACGAUCUACGGAUGAAAGCGGGGGAUCGCAAGACCUCGCGCGAUUGGAGCGGCCGAUAUCAGAUUAGCUAGUUGGUGGGGUAAAGCCCACCAAGGCGACGAUCUGUAGCUGGUCUGAGAGGACGACCAGCCACACUGGGACUGAGACACGGCCCAGACUCCUACGGGAGGCAGCAGUGGGGAAUUUUGGGACAAUGGGCGCAAGCCUGAUCCAGCAAUGCCGCGUGCAGGACGAAGGCC
This 386-nucleotide ribosomal RNA is filed under the name uncultured bacterium. RNAcentral's name for it is "bacterial SSU rRNA". It matches the Rfam family "Bacterial small subunit ribosomal RNA", at positions 29 to 416 of the family's 1533-position model. The record is from RNAcentral.